CGUGGGUAACCUGCCCAAGAGAUCGGGAUAACACCUGGAAACAGAUGCUAAUACCGGAUAAUAACAGAUGAUGCCUAUCAACUGUUUAAAAGAUGGUUCUGCUAUCACUCUUGGAUGGACCUGCGGUGCAUUAGCUAGUUGGUAGGGUAACGGCCUACCAAGGCGAUGAUGCAUAGCCUAGUUGAGAGACUGAUCGGCCACAUUGGGACUGAGACACGGCCCAAACUCCUACGGGAGGCAGCAGGG
RNAcentral lists this ribosomal RNA (246 nucleotides) under uncultured Lactobacillus sp. Its description in RNAcentral is "partial 16S ribosomal RNA". It matches the Rfam family "Bacterial small subunit ribosomal RNA", at positions 116 to 354 of the family's 1533-position model. The record is from RNAcentral. Lineage: Bacteria; Bacillati; Bacillota; Bacilli; Lactobacillales; Lactobacillaceae.